UACGGAGGGGGCGAGCGUUGUCCGAAGUUACUGGGCGUAAAGCGCGCGUAGGCGGGUUGGUAAGUCCGCUAUGAAAGCCCGGAGCUUAACUCCGGAGGGUCGGUGGAUACUGCCAGUCUUGAAGGUGCUAGGGGGAGAUGGAAUUACCGGUGUAGCGGUGAAAUGCGUAGAUAUCGGUAGGAACACCAGUGGCGAAGGCGGUCUCCUGGGGCAUUCUUGACGCUGAGGCGCGAAAGCUGGGGGAGCAAACGGG
RNAcentral lists this ribosomal RNA (253 nucleotides) under uncultured bacterium. RNAcentral's name for it is "partial 16S ribosomal RNA". It matches the Rfam family "Bacterial small subunit ribosomal RNA", at positions 524 to 776 of the family's 1533-position model. The record is from RNAcentral.